RNAcentral lists this ribosomal RNA (497 nucleotides) under uncultured bacterium. RNAcentral's name for it is "partial 16S ribosomal RNA". It matches the Rfam family "Bacterial small subunit ribosomal RNA", at positions 28 to 507 of the family's 1533-position model. The record is from RNAcentral.
GACGAACGCUGGCGGCGUGCCUAAUACAUGCAAGUUGAGCGCUGAAAGGUGGUACUUGUACCAACUAGGUUAGCAGCGAACGGGUGAGUAACGCGUGGGGAAUCUGCCUUUGAGCGGGGGACAACAUUGGGAAACGAAUGCUAAUACCGCAUAAAAACUUUAAACACAAGGUUUAAGUUUGAAAGAUGCAAUUGCAGCCCUCAAAGAUUAUCCCGCCUUGUAUUAGCUAGGUGGGGAGGUAAAGGCUUAACAAAGCGAUGAUACAUAGCCGAACCGAGAGGGUGAUCGGCCCACUUGGGACCGAGACACGGCCCAAACUCCCAAGGGAGGGAGCCGUAGGGGAUCUUCGGGCAUUGACGAAAGUCCUGACGGGCAACCGCGCGGGAGUGAAGAAGGUUCUCGGAUCGUAAAACCCUGUUGGUAGGGAAGAAAGUUGGUUGGAGUGGACAGCGCACCAAGUGACGGUACCUAAUCAGAAAGGCACGGCUAACUACGUG